This is a long non-coding RNA of Mercenaria mercenaria, 2520 nucleotides long. RefSeq lists it as uncharacterized. The transcript has 3 exons. Lineage: Eukaryota; Metazoa; Mollusca; Bivalvia; Venerida; Veneridae. The record is from RefSeq and is a predicted model, not a curated record.
AUCAUGUGACGUAUGAACUUAGUAGCACAUAUAUUUUGUAAAAGUAGCACGUGUUAUUUAUGGGAGCCUACGGAGGUAUGGUGUACCAAAAGGAGCAGUUUUAUGCCCUGACUUAUUUGUUUUGCUAUGGUGCUUACCAUAUGUUAUAUAUUUUAGCUUCUUCCGCCAGACGACUUUUACCUGGUGAUGAUGUCACAACCCGGAAGUACAAUACCCGAGGUUCACUUGUCUUCACUCGCCUGGAUGUGAUUUUCCCAGCGCAGAGCUUUCGUCCCAUGGUUGUACCAUAAACCGCAAAGACGAUGAUUUUUGUUAUCCUCUGAAGUCGGCUCAGGGAUGCAAUUUCUGACAAAUCAAAGGCUUGACGGGUGUUCUUUUAUGACGAACAGAGGUGUAUGAAAGAUGAAAAAAAGAGUAAAAAAAAUCAACAUCAAUGGAAUUGAAAAUAUAUGUUAAAAUGACUGGCGAAUGACAUACUAGUAAUUGACGUAGCCCUAUUAUAUUCGAAAAGCUGUAGUACGAGAAGUAAAGAACAUCCUCUAACGGAAUUACCACAGGCUAAACUAGGCUUCCGUACCAAACACGACUAUUGUCGGUUGCUAUUUGAAGGGACACGUGUUCAUCAUAACUACUCUGGAAAAAUGAGAAAUGACUGAAUCGCGUCAACGAAAUGUUCUGAUUAAAGGAGCUUUAGAUGUGCGCUGGGAAAGAACAAGAGUGAAUGCAGCUUAAUUUUAAUUACCACCCAGUAGAAAGGGACGUCGAUUGAAUCUACACUACUGAAUUGAAAAAGGUUCAGGAUUUGGUAACGACUAAUGUUCAGAUUUUGCUGGCAAAUCUUAGUGCAUCCACUUACAUAUUAGAACUCUUUGUGGACUUGAACAGUAGUAGAACAAUUUUACUUGCAAUGUAAAUUAUUUUAGUUCUCUAAAACUGUUAAGUUGUUGAUAAUGUUGCUGUGUAAAAGAUUAUGUAAAUUUGGUAAUUUUACUAAUUUUUUUAUUCAAACCCUUACACAGUUGAAGCCAUUGUGACACAAACAUUUGCACAUACACUUCAAAGACAUAGCAAUUACUCAUUUCUCUUGUUAUCAGCUAAUGUUAUAUAUUUACACAAAUCAAUGAAAGCAGAUCUAUUGAUUGUAGUAAUUCUAAAAAAUAUACAUUCUUGGAUGAGUAUAAUAAUAACGUUUCAUGAACUCUGGACGUAAGUCUUUAUAAAUUACAUUUAAGAUCGCAUAACUGACAAAACGCGCUACAUAUUGUAUGCCCUAAUUUUCUUUGAUCAAGAAGAAGUGUACAUCUAUACGUCGCAUUCUCAACAAUUGGCAAUAUUUAGAUUCUGAAUGGAUGACAGCUUUGUGCGGAAAAAAAUGUCAAAGAUAUACAUCUUUUUGUAUGAUGAAAAUGAUAAAGCGGUUGAAGAGGAGAUGUACCGUCUAUGCUUCAAAAUUAACAAAAAUCAUAACAUAAUAACUCUCUGGAAAUCAUAGAACUGGAAAAUAUUGAGGCUUUGCACAGCUACACUUCUUAUAACUCCGAAAUUUCAUUACAAUCUGACAAAAGAUUGAUACAGUUUCAAUGUCUUAGUAUAAUCUAUUAAAGUUUGUAUUAUCCGUUAGAAGCAUGUGCUGUUAAGGCCUAUGCUACUUUGAAAUUAUGAAUUAGGUGGGUGGGGUACAUGAUAUUAUUUCUGAUUAAUUUCGAAGUUACUGUAAAACAAACGUUAUUCCAAUGUGACAAUACAUCAAAACCAUGAAGUGCUGAACUCUUACUUUAAUUUAAAAAGUAAAGUGGGAAAAGUUAUCAGUAUGUUCGUGUCACAAUUUUCGGGGUAAGUAUUCUAUGUCAUCGUGCAUAACUGCGAAAAAAUAUAACAUACAUAAUAAAGCUAAACUAUCCGUGUAAAUGAGUUGAGAGCUAUUUUUCUAUUUCCGUUUAUUACUUUUCUAAAAAAACACAUUACAAUUUACCAGGUGUUGGCAAAAUUUGUCAUUUUUGUGCACAUGCCUUUACACAUUAAAGAAGUCCGAACUAUAAGUAUGGUGUGCGAGAGGGGCCUGAGCGCUUACGUAGUGCUCAUUUACAGGAAUUGUACUGCUCAUAUAUAUAUAUGAAUUUUAUAGGUAGAUAAAAUUAUUUAUGUCAUUGUACAUUUGGAGCAAAUCGGUCCUAUUCUGAAAUAUGUUAAUUUAUAUACUACGGUAAAAGCCAAUCAAUGAAUUCCUUUUAUACCGUUGAACCAAUCGUGAAAUGGCAUCUUCCUUCUUCGUCAGCAUUCAAGAGUGAAUAGCAGGCUUCUUUCUUUAAUUUUAUUUUGGCUAAUUUCUGGUUUUAUUUUACCACCACAUGCCAUUCCGCCUCCUCUUUCAAGUGACAAUUUUCUAAUUUUGAAAGAUUUCUCUUAAUAUGCAAAUUCAUCUACAUUUCUUGAUAUGCUUUCGGUGGUUAUAUCCGCCCUAAUAUGUGAAUAUAUAUAUUUGUUAUGGUAUUGGACUGUAACUCCAUUCAGAUUUGAGAA